GCCUGAGUGGUAUGAACCUGGGACAGAAGCUUGCUGUGAGAUGCUGCUACCCGUCUGAGAAUGGGAUGACUUGUAAAGGGGGGCCAUGUGUGAAUGAUGGGAUGGCAUAUGUGAACGAUGGGUUGCUUUGGACUCAGCCUUCUCGUUCGCAGCUUUCUUGGAAGAAUGAACGGCAGACGCGUGUGAGCAUUGGGGUGAGGAGGCUUUCUUAGAAGAGUGAGCAGUGGCCUCAUGUGGCCGCUGGAAUGGCGCAUGUGAAUGAUGGGAUAUCUCGGAUUUGGCCUUCUCGCUCAUUGUGUCCUUCACCUGAAGAUUGGCAUGAAGCUGAAGAUCAACGUGGGGGUCAACUGCGGAAGAUACUCAGAAUUAUUAUGCAACAACCUAUGGAAGGCCACUGGUUCCCCAACAUCAGAAUGAAGAAAAAUUUGCAGAAGCUAAAAGUGAGACUUAUGACAAAUUCACUGAGAGAUUACUCAACACAUCAGAAAUCACAAGUGAACUUUUGAAGCUGUUAAAAAGAUGGUCUGAAAAAUCAAAAAUCUUCAACAAUCUGAAAAGCAUUUCUUUGGGAAUUUCCAAGUCCAUACAGAACACCAGUUAUAUCUCAAACUUAAAGAGUCCUCAAUCUAAGUUUUUUGUGAAUCAGAGGUAAUGAAGAUCCUUUGGUUACAAAGAAUCCUAACUUCAUCUGCACAACCAAUAAACCAUUUGAUCGGCAAUUAGCAAAUGAAAAUGAAUCUAUGAUUUCUAAACGGACCUACGGACCCUCCUUUGGCAACCACCCAGUAAAAAGGAAUGUGUGAUUACAAAAAGUGCUUAUUUAUUUGAUAUGUUGGGAAGGGUUUUGUGUAAUACUCCAACAGCUGUUGGAAGGUUGGAGAAUAUGGCAGGUAGAAAGUCAGGAUGGCAUGUAUCCUGGCGUGGUGUGGGUCGGAAUCUGGAGAGCCUGUUACUUGCACAGCACUCAUUCAGAAAACAGAUACAUCCACUAUGAGGACCUGGGGAUGUAGCCCAAAGAAAUAUUUUUGCCUCAAGAUCUAAUGACCUUGAGGACUCCGCCCCAAGAUGGUUGUUGAAGGGUAGGAGAUUUUUCUUUCUUACCCAUGAUCCAUCUGCUGGUUUGCUGCCAGAGCCGGUUCUUUGGCAGCCCUGCCCUCUGGAUUUGAAUGGGGGCACUUAGGAAUGACCCAAGACGGCUUUUGGACAGCUGUGGGCCCAGUUGGGAAGGGGGAAUCUUAAAGACUGCAGCUCCCUGUGGGAGUAGCCAGAAAGUCAACGGUCUUUUCUCCAUUCCAUGAACGCGUGCAGAUAUUGCCCAAAGAAAUUUUUUGUGGCACAUUUUUUUUAACUUACAAGAUCAAUCAAUCAAUAUUAUUUAAUUUGUCCAUGACCAGCCAAAUGUAAAACAAAAUGGUGCGAUCUAGAUAAAUCAGAUAAAAUCUAGAUAAAAUAUUAACAGCUAACAAAAUAAAUCACAGAAAAUAACAUUCACUCCCAGAGGGAAUGAGCCCCAGAACCAUGUUGAUUCAAUUCAGCUCACCUACCUAUCUCACCCCAAAUACUCCAAAUGAGAAAAAAGUAGUUUUGACAACUAUUCUUUAUUUGGUCAUAGACCACCAUGUAAAAAAAGGC
This is a non-coding RNA of Pantherophis guttatus, 1632 nucleotides long. NCBI's taxonomy places the organism in Eukaryota, Metazoa, Chordata, Lepidosauria, Squamata, Colubridae. The record is from RefSeq and is a predicted model, not a curated record.